RNAcentral lists this small RNA (470 nucleotides) under Pongo abelii (Sumatran orangutan). RNAcentral's name for it is "retained intron". Lineage: Eukaryota; Metazoa; Chordata; Mammalia; Primates; Hominidae. The record is from RNAcentral.
AGGUUGGAAACUCCAUGCUGCUGACGGGCCACAUCCUUAUCCUGCUAGGGGGGAUCUACCUCCUCGUGGGCCAGCUGUGGUACUUCUGGCGGCGCCACGUGUUCAUCUGGAUCUCGUUCAUAGACAGCUACUUUGAAAUCCUCUUGUACGUGGGUUCUCACUCCUCCUUCCCUCAACUGUCUCUGAGGUCUGGAAGGGGCAGUUGUGGCAGAAGGCACAACUUUAGAAGCGAGGACACGGGGCCCAGGAAGUCGGGACCUGUGUACAGGCCAGUCCCAGGAGUCUGGGCUGCCGUCCAGCCUGGGCCCCUUGUGCUCCCAUCACUGUAGAUGGUGAUAGUGACAUUUACUAGGCCUCGGCACACACCUGUUUCACUUAGUCCUUGAAAACACUCUAUGAGUCAGGCACCAUUAUUAUUAUGCCCAUUUUACAGUGGGAGGGAACUGAGGCCCACAGAUGUUAAAUGUCUU